This is a long non-coding RNA of Orcinus orca (killer whale), 927 nucleotides long. RefSeq lists it as uncharacterized. The record is from RefSeq and is a predicted model, not a curated record. Lineage: Eukaryota; Metazoa; Chordata; Mammalia; Artiodactyla; Delphinidae. The transcript has 3 exons.
UGUCAGGUUUGAAGGAGACUCCAGGAACUGCUGCAGCCAUCUGCCAGUCUAACAAGUAGACCAACUCAGAGCAGAGAGCAGAGGCCAAGGAAUUUCAGAAAAGCAGAACCAGGAUAUGUUGUGGAUGGACCCUAAUCUACCCCUGAACUUCUUGUUACGUGAGGUACCUAAGGAGAGCGUCCUUUGUGCCAGGUACUGUGCCAACCAUCCUUGAAGGUUAACUCCUGAUCAUCCCAUGUGCUAAUGACACCCAACUCUCUGAAGUCCAGACCCCUCUCCCUUCAGAUUCACACUUGGACAUUCACAAGCUCCUGCCCUAAUUCAGACCUGCAGCACCUUCUACCUGGACGUUGCCAUAGCCUCCCUACUGGUCUGCCUGCCUCUAAGCGUGUUCGUGUAGCAGUCACACUCUCCUGCUUCAGUGGCUCUCUGUUGCCUAUGAACAAAGAUCAUACUCCUUAAAAUGCUAAAUAAAGUUCCCUGUGUCCUGCUCUCUGUCUUCCUUUCCAGUCUCACCUUAAGAGUGGUUUGCCUUGAACGUUUGUGGUUUCCUACACACAGCACACAGAUUCAUGGCUUUGCUCGUGCUGUACUUCCUGUUUGGAAUAUGACCUACCCUAUACCCCCAUUUCUGCACAUAAUUUAAGCUUCAGCUGAGGUGCCAUGUCCUCUAGGAGGCCUUGUCAGUCCUCUUCAGGCUGAGCUGGGUGUCCUCUGGUCGGCUUUUAUAGCACACUGGGCAUCCCUCUGUCAUUGCACUAUUAAGAUCAGGUCCUCUUGCUGCCACCUGGAUUCCCUUGUGAGUUCCUUGAAGACAUGGGCAUGUCUUGUUCAUCCUUGAUUCCCCAAUGCCUAGCCAGUACCUGAAACACAGUAGGGUUUCAAUAAACGUCUGUUGAAAGUCUAGGUUUCCUUUUAAGUAGAGCA